UAAUGUCUGGGGAAACUGCCUGAUGGGANGGGGGAUAACUACUGGAAACGGUAGCUUAUACCGUAUAACGUCCCAAGACCAAAGAAGGGGACCUUCGGGCCUCUUGCCAUCAGAUGUGCCCAGAUGGGAUUAGCUAGUAAGUGGGGUAAUGGCUCNCCUAAGCGACGAUCCCUAGCUGGUCUGAGAGGAUGACCAGCCACACUGGGAACUGAGACACGGUCCAGACUCCUACGGGAGGCAGCAGUGGGGAAUAUUGCACAAUGGGCGCAAGCCUGAUGUAACCCAUGCC
RNAcentral lists this ribosomal RNA (289 nucleotides) under uncultured Enterobacteriaceae bacterium. RNAcentral describes it as "partial 16S ribosomal RNA". It matches the Rfam family "Bacterial small subunit ribosomal RNA", at positions 111 to 392 of the family's 1533-position model. Lineage: Bacteria; Pseudomonadati; Pseudomonadota; Gammaproteobacteria; Enterobacterales; Enterobacteriaceae. The record is from RNAcentral.